Molecule: ribosomal RNA, 1274 nt
Filed under: Curtobacterium flaccumfaciens
Lineage: Bacteria; Bacillati; Actinomycetota; Actinomycetes; Micrococcales; Microbacteriaceae
Description: bacterial LSU rRNA
Rfam family: Bacterial large subunit ribosomal RNA
Source: RNAcentral
UGUGGUCAAGUUUCUAAGAGCAAACGGUGGAUGCCUUGGCAUCUGGAGCCGAUGAAGGACGUAGAAAUCUGCGAUAAGCCUCGGGGAGCUGAUAAUCGAGCUUUGAUCCGAGGAUUUCCGAAUGGGGAAACCCCGCCAGGCGUUUUGCGACCUGGUGACUCCCGCCUGAAUAUAUAGGGCGGGUAGAGGGAACGUGGGGAAGUGAAACAUCUCAGUACCCACAGGAAGAGAAAACAACAUGUGAUUCCGUGAGUAGUGGCGAGCGAAAGCGGAUGAGGCUAAACCGAUCAUGUGUGAUAGCCGGCGGGCGUUGCAUGGUCGGGGUUGUGGGACACGUCACUCAGUUCUGCCGGACUGGGGCGGUUACAGCGCAUCAUAGUCGAACCGGUUUGAAAGCCGGGCCGUAGUGGGUGCCAGCCCCGUAGACGAAAUGGUGUUAUGGCCGGAUGUGUAUCCCAAGUAGCACGGGGCCCGAGAAAUCCCGUGUGAAUCUGUCAGGACCACCUGAUAAGCCUAAAUACUCCCAGAUGACCGAUAGCGGACAAGUACCGUGAGGGAAAGGUGAAAAGUACCCCGGGAGGGGAGUGAAAUAGUACCUGAAACCGUUUGCUUACAAACCGUCGGAGCCUCCUUAGUAGGGGUGACGGCGUGCCUUUUGAAGAAUGAGCCUGCGAGUUAGUGAUAUGUGGCGAGGUUAACCCGUGAGGGGCAGCCGUAGCGAAAGCGAGUCUGAAUAGGGCGUUUGAGUCGCAUGUUCUAGACCCGAAGCGAAGUGAUCUAUCCAUGGCCAGGUUGAAGCGACGGUAAGACGUCGUGGAGGACCGAACCCACUUCAGUUGAAAAUGGAGGGGAUGAGCUGUGGAUAGGGGUGAAAGGCCAAUCAAACUUCGUGAUAGCUGGUUCUCUCCGAAAUGCAUUUAGGUGCAGCGUUGCGUGUUUCUCGCCGGAGGUAGAGCUACUGGAUGGCCGAUGGGCCUCAACAGGUUACUGACGUCAGCCAAACUCCGAAUGCCGGUGAGUGAGAGCGCAGCAGUGAGACGGUGGGGGAUAAGCUUCAUCGUCGAGAGGGAAACAACCCAGACUACCAACUAAGGUCCCUAAGCGUGUGCUAAGUGGGAAAGGAUGUGGAGUUGCACAGACAACCAGGAGGUUGGCUUAGAAGCAGCCACCCUUGAAAGAGUGCGUAAUAGCUCACUGGUCAAGUGAUUCCGCGCCGACAAUGUAACGGGGCUCAAGCACACCACCGAAGUUGUAGAUUUCGCACUAUAGACAAG